CCUACGGGAGGCAGCAGUGGGGAAUUUUGGACAAUGGGCGCAAGCCUGAUCCAGCAAUGCCGCGUGCAGGAUGAAGGCCUUCGGGUUGUAAACUGCUUUUGUACGGAACGAAAAAGUCUGCCCUAAUACGGUGGGCCCAUGACGGUACCGUAAGAAUAAGCACCGGCUAACUACGUGCCAGCAGCCGCGGUAAUACGUAGGGUGCGAGCGUUAAUCGGAAUUACUGGGCGUAAAGCGUGCGCAGGCGGUUAUAUAAGACAGAUGUGAAAUCCCCGGGCUCAACCUGGGACCUGCAUUUGUGACUGUAUAGCUAGAGUACGGUAGAGGGGGAUGGAAUUCCGCGUGUAGCAGUGAAAUGCGUAGAUAUGCGGAGGAACACCGAUGGCGAAGGCAAUCCCCUGGACCUGUACUGACGCUCAUGCACGAAAGCGUGGGGAGCAAACAGGAUUAGAUACCCUGGUAGUCCACGCCCUAAACGAUGUCAACUGGUUGUUGGGUCUUCACUGACUCAGUAACGAAGCUAACGCGUGAGUAGACGCCGNGGAGGUAACGGCGCGAGUUAGUAACGUUACGAAAGAAGUUAGAGGCGNGAGACGNGCCGACGGACGACGACGAGGGAGGAGG
This 624-nucleotide ribosomal RNA is filed under the name uncultured bacterium. RNAcentral's name for it is "bacterial SSU rRNA". The stretch from base 1 to 540 matches the Rfam family "Bacterial small subunit ribosomal RNA", at positions 338 to 873 of the family's 1533-position model. The record is from RNAcentral.